GACGGGGAAAGCGUCGAAUCGAGCGCGCCAGCGCGAGCUUCGAACAGGGACGGGUUUAACAUUCCUGAAUCGGGACGUGGCGGCUGACGCGCAACGUAGGGAGUCCGGAGAAAGAGAGAGGAGCACAGAUUUAUUUCUGUUUAACAGCGCUGCCACCCUGGAAAAACGGCUCAGCCCGGGGAGUGUAGGGUCCCAGCGGCCGGAAGAGCACCGCAACUUCGCGUGGUAGUCCGGCGCCCGGCGGCCCUUGAAAAUCCGAGAGGACCGAGAGUUGCGACCUACGCCCGGUCGUACUCAUAACCGCAUCAGGUAAUCUCCAAAGGGAACAGCCUCUGGCGAAUGGAACAAUGUAAGGCAAGGGAUCGCAAAAUGGAUCCGUAAUUGGGAAAAGGAUACCCUACACAGACCACAAUGAGGGCUGCAACGGGGGUCCCAAGUCUCCGAACACCCCAGAUCGACAUGUCGGAUGGAACUGCUCGAGCCUCGCAUUCCGCGCGAGAGCCGGGCUCGCCGCGGGCCGGCAACCGGGGACGGACUGGGAACGGCCCUCGGGAGAGCCUUCCCGGGCGUCCGAACAGCCGACUCAGAACUGUACGUGACAAGGGGAAUCCGACUGUUUAAAUUAAAACAAAGCAUAAUGCGAUGGUCCCUCGAGGAUGAUAACGCAAUGUGAUUUCCCAGUGCUAACAUAGAAUGUCAAAGUGAAGAAAUCAACCAAGCGCGGUAAACGGCGGGAUAACUAUGACUCUCUUAAGGUACCAAAGCCUCGUCAUCCUAAUAGUGACAGCGCAUGAACAUGGAUUAACGAGAAUUCCCAACUGCCUGAUCUACUAUCCAGCGAAACCACAGCCAGGAAAGGAGCUGCAGACACACAACGACGAGGAGAGAGGCACUGUUGAGCUUGAGAUCUAGUUCCGACUUUGUGAAAUGACUUGAGAGGUGUAGGAUAGAGUGGGAGCCCUCGGGCAAAAUGAAUAACCACUACUUACGUAUUUUAUUACUCCGGAGCUCGGAGGCGGGGCCAUGCCCCUGUCUUGGACCCAAGGCCCGCACCUUCCAGCGGGCCGAUCCGAGCGGAGGACAUUGUCAAGGUGGAGGAGUUUGGCUGGGCGGCACCCCAUCUGUUAAAAGAUAACGCAAAGGUGAUCUAAGAAUAGCUCGAACGAGAAACAGAAAUUCGGUGUGGAACAGAAAGGGUAAUAGCGUCGUUUUGAUUCUGAAUUUCCAGUAGAAAAUACGAACCGUGAAAGCGUGCCAACGACCUUAUAGACCUUCGGAUUAUGAAGCUAGAGGUGUAGAAAAGUUACAAAACAGGCAUAACGGGCCUUUGCACCAAGCGUUUUCAUAGCGAAACGUUGCUUUUUUGAUCCUUCGAUGUCGGAUCUUCUAUCAUUGUGAAGCAGAAUUCACCAAGUGUUGGAUCGUCACACCCAAUCAGGGAAGCCGGAGCUGGGAUAGACCGUCGUGAGACAGGUAGUUUACCCUACUGAUGACAGUGUCGCGAUGGUAAUUUCAACCUGUACGAGAAGGAAACGUGGAUUCGCACAAUUGGUCUUCGCGCUUAGGUUGAAAAGCCAGUGGCCGCGAAGCCUACGUUCGCCUGGAUUAUGACUGAACCUCUAAGUCAGAAUCCGGGCCAAAGCGACGCGGUGCGCUCAGCAGCUCGUUUGCCGACCCGCGUAGGGCCCAGGCCCAAAGGGCACGUGUGAUGGCCGACCCAACCGCGGCGGAGACACCCGCCUGGGCCGCCGAGGAUAUAAUUUCCACCGACGACGGACGGGGCUCACACGAAAUCCUCUGCAAGACGACUUAAUACGCGAGGGGUAUUGU
This 1830-nucleotide ribosomal RNA is filed under the name Nepenthes ampullaria. RNAcentral's name for it is "eukaryotic LSU rRNA". It matches the Rfam family "Eukaryotic large subunit ribosomal RNA", at positions 1552 to 3401 of the family's 3401-position model. The record is from RNAcentral. Lineage: Eukaryota; Viridiplantae; Streptophyta; Magnoliopsida; Caryophyllales; Nepenthaceae.